AUUAUCAUAGUCGUGUGUGCUAUGUGUAUCAACACAAGCGCUGGACGCGUAUAUUACUAUGUGAGUGGUGUAGACAGGCGAUCAAUGUUAUCUAUCGAAUUCGGAUUUAAGACUCAGACUGUGAAUUUCAGACGCAACCGCGUAAGGCACUUUUCUUUAAUCGAUUUAAUAUGGUCGCCUUUUCGUAACAGCAUAUACCUACAAUUAUAACUGAGCAUACAGGUGCAUACAUAAUACAUAGAUGAUAGCACUAGAUAAUGAAAAAAAAAAUAAAUAAAUAUAUAGAUAAAAAUGUAUUAACGAAUUAAAUGCUUCAGAUAGAACAUUGUAAUUUUAUAAAAGGAGCGAAAUAAGACAUUUCUAUCUAGAAAUGACUUGAAAUCGUAUUAUUGAGAUAUGUAUAAUUUUAUGUGCUAGACUAGGUUAGACUUGUAUGUGAAUAUUAGUGUGUGGAAGUAUGUGUGUGCGCGGCGUCUCGAAAACAAAGGAAUGUAAACUGUCCAGUUAACAAUCUGUUAUGGGAGAAAGUGCUGAGACGCGUGCAAAUGUGUAUCCAUGAAUAUCUUUGGAAUCGUUUAUCGAAUAAAUAUAUAACUAUUCUAAUAUAAAUUCAAAGUGUAUAUUUAGUGUUCCUAUACUAUUAUUUCGGCUAUUAAGAUCCAAUAUUCUCAACACAGAUUUAAUUAAUAUUUUUAAAUAUGCGUACAAUUAAUACACAAAAAUUGUUAAGAAAUUAGUGGUUUCAACGUACGUGGUAUGUACGUGGUAUUACAAUAAAACGUCUUAUCGAUAUUUAAAGAGAGAAUUCAAGAAUGGGAUGUAUGGAAAUACCUGGAGCCCUUUCCAACGCACCCCGAAUAGCGUUAGUCACGGCCAAUGUAAGGAACCAAGAGGGUGGCAGUAGGGCAGCAGAAAAAUCGGAAACCACCGAAAUUACUACGGAAAUGGAUGAAGUUAAAAAGAUAAGAAAGUCGGAAAUUAUCCCAAGGAUACGUCUGUUAGUUUCCAAUUGAGGGUACUUUUGCAACUGUUUCGCAGAAGGCAAUGUUGGUAGUAACUGCUAGUAAUAAAUGGAUGUUCGUGAGAUUACAGAAAUUAGAUCCGAAGAAAAUCAUGUUGAGUUUCUGAAAAAUGGUAUCUAAAUAUGUAGAUCUGAUGAAAAUUGUGAUGAAUUUCUGAAGCAUACCUAGUAUAAAUUUAUUGCACACAAUAUCGUGUAAUUAAUAAUGCAAUUGGAGAGAGCAUGAUGAUAAGAAUCGAGAUCUAUGUGUAGGUAAUGCCAUUUGUACUUGCAGUGACAUGGAAAAAGGAAUAGACAAUGCAGGAUAAUAUUUUUUCAUUUGAAGCUUCAUUUUCCAAGAUAAUAGGUUUGAACUUUAUAUUUUAUUGGGUUAAGUUUAGGUCGGACUGUAUAAAAAUGAGGCUGUCUGCUGCAAAAUGAAAUGUAAUCGUAACAUUAAUUGUAUUAAAGCUUUCUGCGAAUAUCUCGGAAACUAAAGCCAAGUAGCGAUAAUAUGUAUAAAAAAAGUUGUCCAGAAUGAUGACCUCGACACAUCUCAAAAUCAUGAAAAUCGGUGAACUGUGUCCUUUUAUAUGUAAUUUCUUAAAUAAGUUUUAUAUUUACAUAAUGAAAAAUAAUACGAUAUAUAUCUCAAUCUUUAUUAUUUAUUUGCUAAUAGUAUUAACAAGAACACUGUUAUUGUUAACAAAACAACAACGUAUGAUUCGUAUUAUUCAUUUCCAUAAUGUAUUAU
Long non-coding RNA from Bombus terrestris (buff-tailed bumblebee), 1754 nucleotides. RefSeq lists it as uncharacterized. The transcript has 5 exons. NCBI's taxonomy places the organism in Eukaryota, Metazoa, Arthropoda, Insecta, Hymenoptera, Apidae. The record is from RefSeq and is a predicted model, not a curated record.